RNAcentral lists this transfer RNA (81 nucleotides) under freshwater metagenome. RNAcentral describes it as "tRNA-Phe". The record is from RNAcentral.
UCGGCACGACCGACAGGAUCGGGAUGGCCUGAAGGGCCACCAGGUAGGGAUAGGUCGAGCGUUCGACCCACUUGGCCUGAG